GACGAACGCUGGCGGCGUGCUUAACACAUGCAAGUCGAACGGAAAGGCCCUGCUUUUGUGGGGUGCUCGAGUGGCGAACGGGUGAGUAACACGUGAGUAACCUGCCCUUGACUUUGGGAUAACUUCAGGAAACUGGGGCUAAUACCGGAUAGGAGCUCCUGCUGCAUGGUGGGGGUUGGAAAGUUUCGGCGGUUGGGGAUGGACGCGCGGCUUAUCAGCUUGUUGGUGGGGUAGUGGAUUACCAAGGCUUUGACGGGUAGCCGGCCUGAGAGGGUGACCGGCCACAUUGGGACUGAGAUACGGCCCAGACUCCUACGGGAGGCAGCAGUGGGGAAUAUUGCACAAUGGGCGGAAGCCUGAUGCAGCAACGCCGCGUGCGGGAUGACGGCCUUCGGGUUGUAAACCGCUUUCGCCUGUGACGAAGCGUGAGUGACGGUAAUGGGUAAAGAAGCACCGGCUAACUACGUG
This 468-nucleotide ribosomal RNA is filed under the name uncultured bacterium. RNAcentral's name for it is "partial 16S ribosomal RNA". It matches the Rfam family "Bacterial small subunit ribosomal RNA", at positions 28 to 507 of the family's 1533-position model. The record is from RNAcentral.